Molecule: long non-coding RNA, 283 nt
Filed under: Nicotiana benthamiana
Lineage: Eukaryota; Viridiplantae; Streptophyta; Magnoliopsida; Solanales; Solanaceae
Description: long non-coding RNA (NBEN_LNC015901)
Source: RNAcentral
AUUGUCAGAGACAAAAUUGGUUUCAGGGCCUUUACUCUUUAGAGAUGCUUGAUAAAGCUCAACCAAAUGUCUUGGUACACGGCAAAUUCUUGACAAGUGCCCUUUUCCACCGCAACGAUGACAUAUAGUUUCUGAACUAUUUGCUUUUGGAUCCUCAUAAUUACGUUUCUGCUUUUGGUGGUUAUAUCUCUUUGGGGAGUGACUGACACCAGGAAAAUUUCUUCCUUGUCCACGUCCACGGCCAUAACCCCGAUUACGACCACGGCCAUGAUUAAAGCCAUAG